This 540-nucleotide ribosomal RNA is filed under the name uncultured Geobacteraceae bacterium. RNAcentral describes it as "bacterial SSU rRNA". It matches the Rfam family "Bacterial small subunit ribosomal RNA", at positions 9 to 526 of the family's 1533-position model. The record is from RNAcentral. Lineage: Bacteria; Pseudomonadati; Thermodesulfobacteriota; Desulfuromonadia; Geobacterales; Geobacteraceae.
GAGUUUGAUCCUGGCUCAGAACGAACGCUGGCGGCGUGCCUAACACAUGCAAGUCGAACGUGAUCCAGAGCUUGCCCUGGUGAAAGUGGCGCACGGGUGAGUAACGCGUGGAUAACCUACCCUGGUAUCCGGGAUAACAUUCCGAAAGGGGUGCUAAUACCGGAUAAGCCCACGGGCUCUUUGGAGCUUGCGGGAAAAGGUGGCCUCUAUUUAUAAGCUACUGUAUCAGGAUGGGUCCGCGUACCAUUAGCUAGUUGGCGGUGUAACGGACCACCAAGGCGACGAUGGUUAGCUGGUCUGAGAGGAUGAUCAGCCACACUGGAACUGAGACACGGUCCAGACUCCUACGGGAGGCAGCAGUGGGGAAUUUUGCGCAAUGGGGGAAACCCUGACGCAACAACGCCGCGUGAGUGAUGAAGGCCUUUGGGUCGUAAAGCUCUGUCAGAGGGGAAGAAAUGAUAUAGUGCUAAUACCACUUUAUCUUGACGGUACCCUCAAAGGAAGCACCGGCUAACUCCGUGCCAGCAGCCGCGGUAAUAC